UAUCCUAAAUCCCGUUAAAAAUAGUUCGCUUUACUACUGCAUGGCGCAACGAUCUUCCUAGUAGCUCCAUUCCCGGAAGACGCGUUAUUCUCGGCCAUUUCGCUUGCGACUUUGAUGGUCUUCGGACGUUGCACUUGUGAGAGCAAGACGUAACGUUCAAUAAUCAUGGUUAACGGUAGAAUACCGUCAGUCUUUUCGAAGACCUACGUGACACCCAGGAGACCUUAUGAGAAGGCUCGUCUUGAUCAGGAGUUACGGAUUAUUGGUGAAUAUGGUCUGCGUAACAAGCGUGAAGUAUGGAGGGUGAAAUACACCCUGGCCAAAAUCCGUAAAGCUGCUCGUGAGCUGCUCACGUUGGAGGAGAAAGACCCAAAGCGUCUUUUCGAAGGAAAUGCAUUGUUGCGAAGAUUGGUGAGGAUCGGAGUAUUGGAUGAAAAUCGAAUGAAGCUCGAUUACGUCCUUGGUCUUAAGAUCGAAGAUUUCUUGGAGAGGCGUCUUCAGACUCAGGUCUUCAAGCUUGGUCUGGCAAAGUCUAUCCAUCAUGCUCGCGUUCUGAUUCGUCAGAGACACAUUCGAUACCGGGAUGGCUUACCAGGUUGAUUCCUUCGUCCAUUUGGAACUGACCAUGUCCAGUAAUUCUAUUGCAUACAGACCACUGAAGCGUUUGGUUAUUUGCCAGCGUUUCACGUCUGAAGGUUAAUUUUGUCACAACAGAUCACUUAAUCGUGACUAUUGUGGUGCUUAAAAUCCAAUCCACUAGCCGUCCAUGGAAUCGGUACAGUCCUUAUUAUGUGUGCGAAAGCAGGUGGUGAACAUCCCAUCUUUUAUCGUACGUCUGGACUCACAGAAGCACAUUGACUUCUCCCUGAAGUCGCCAUUCGGCGGUGGCCGACCUGGUCGCGUAAAGAGGAAGAAUAUGCGCAAAGGAACUGGUACCGCUGCCCAAGAAGAGGAAGAAGAUUAAAAUGUAAAUCUUCAAUUUUCUUCAAUAAAUUCGCAGUUCGACUUU
RNA transcript from Cephus cinctus (wheat stem sawfly), 1009 nucleotides. It is a transcript of the gene named 40S ribosomal protein S9, with no coding region annotated. Lineage: Eukaryota; Metazoa; Arthropoda; Insecta; Hymenoptera; Cephidae. The record is from RefSeq and is a predicted model, not a curated record. The transcript is spliced from 5 exons.